GCUAAACGCGAAGAACCUUACCAAGGCUUGACAUAUACGGGAAUGGGCCAGAAAUGGUCAGCUCUUUGGACACUCGUAUACAGGUGGUGCAUGGUUGUCGUCAGCUCGUGUCGUGAGAUGUUGGGUUAAGUCCCGCAACGAGCGCAACCCUCGUUCUAUGUUGCCAGCACGUUAUGGUGGGAACUCAUGGGAUACUGCCGGGGUCAACUCGGAGGAAGGUGGGGAUGACGUCAAAUCAUCAUGCCCCUUAUGUCUUGGGCUUCACGCAUGCUACAAUGGCCGGUACAAUGGGCUGCGAUACCGUGAGGUGGAGCGAAUCCCAAAAAGCCGGUCCCAGUUCGGAUCGUAGUCUGCAACUCGACUACGUGAAGUCGGAGUCGCUAGUAAUCGCAGAUCAGCAACGCUGCGGUGAAUACGUUCCCGGGUCUUGUACACACCG
RNAcentral lists this ribosomal RNA (439 nucleotides) under uncultured bacterium. Its description in RNAcentral is "bacterial SSU rRNA". It matches the Rfam family "Bacterial small subunit ribosomal RNA", at positions 954 to 1392 of the family's 1533-position model. The record is from RNAcentral.